UUUGGGAUAGCCCAGAGAAAUUUGGAUUAAUAUCAGAUAGUAUAUAGGACUGGCAUCUUUAUAAUUAAAGUUCCGACGGCAAGAGAUGAGUAUGCGUCCUAUUAGCUAGAUGGUAAGGUAACGGCUUACCAUGGCAACGAUAGGUAGGGGCCCUGAGAGGGAGAUCCCCCACACUGGUACUGAGACACGGACCAGACUCCUACGGGAGGCAGCAGUGAGGAAUAUUGGGCAAUGGAGGCAACUCUGACCCAGCCAUGCCGCGUGCAGGAAGACUGCCCUAUGGGUUGUAAACUGCUUUUAUACAGGAAGAAACCCACGCUCGUGAGCGUGGCUGACGGUACUGUAAGAAUAAGGACCGGCUAACUCCGUGCCAGCAGCCGCGGUAAUACGGAGGGUCCAAGCGUUAUCCGGAAUCAUUGGGUUUAAAGGGUCCGUAGGCGGGCAAUUAAGUCAGGGGUGAAAUCCCACAGCUCAACCUGUAAAAUUGCCUUUGAUACUGAUGGUCUUGAGUUAUGGUGAAGUUGCUGGAAUAUGUAGUGUAGCGGUGAAAUGCAUAGAUAUUACAUAGAACACCGAUUGCGAAGGCAGGUGACUAACCAUGUACUGACGCUGAUGGACGAAAUCGUGGGGAGCGAACAGGAUUAGAUACCCUGGUAGUCCACGCCGUAAACGAUGGAUACUAGCUGUCCGGCUUGAGCAGUGGGCGGCCAAGCGAAAGUGAUAAGUAUCCCACCUGGGGAGUACGUUCGCAAGAAUGAAACUCAAAGGAAUUGACGGGGGCCCGCACAAGCGGUGGAGCAUGUGGUUUAAUUCGAUGAUACGCGAGGAACCUUACCAGGGCUUAAAUGUAUUUUGACAGGUUUAGAGAUAGACUUUCCUUCGGGCAAUUUACAAGGUGCUGCAUGGUUGUCGUCAGCUCGUGCCGUGAGGUGUCAGGUUAAGUCCUAUAACGAGCGCAACCCCUGUUGUUAGUUGCCAGCGAGUCAUGUCGGGAACUCUAACAAGACUGCCAGUGCAAACUGUGAGGAAGGUGGGGAUGACGUCAAAUCAUCACGGCCCUUACGUCCUGGGCCACACACGUGCUACAAUGGUAGGUACAGAGAGCAGCCAUGUCGCAAGGCUGAGCGAAUCUAUAAAACCUAUCACAGUUCGGACGGAGUCUUGCAACCGACUCCGUGAAGCUGGAAUCGCUAGUAAUCGCAUAUCAGCCAUGAUGCGGUGAAUACGUUCCCGGGCCUUGU
Molecule: ribosomal RNA, 1241 nt
Filed under: uncultured prokaryote
Description: partial 16S ribosomal RNA
Rfam family: Bacterial small subunit ribosomal RNA
Source: RNAcentral